UUUUAUAGUAGUUCUCACGCCCAGUUGUUAUCCCUGUUUUGCAGAGCCACAGGUUUCGGCUGCUGCGCCUUCCGCGGAUCAGGAUUGAGGCAAGGGCGUCGCGAGUUAGAGCCCUACCCGACGUACUGAGCUAGAGGUGCCCCUACUGCAGGUAGAUGUUUUGUUUCGAGUUUAUGUAUAUAGUAGACUUAACUCGCCAGUAUGAGUAGCUCGGUAUUUUGGAUUUGGACUAUGUAUAUGAAACUCAGUUUGUUUAGCUUCUGUUUUCACUACAACAAAACUAUGUUUUAGCGGCGAUUAUUUUUUAAAUUAGCGGCAAUUACAAUUACCGCUAAAAUGUUUUGUGGCAAUUUUAACAAUUGCCGCUAUUGGCAGGGUCGCUAAAAGUUUUAGCGAUAUUUAUUCCGGCGGUUGGUAAAAAUCUAAAUAAAUGCCGCUAAAUAUUAUACAAUAACGACUAUUAUAAAUACCGCUAAAUAGUAUGCAAUAACAACUAUUAUAAAUGCCGCUAAAUAAUAUACAAUAACAACUAUUAUAAAUGCUGCUACAAUUAAUUAUAAUUGCCGCAAAAAACAUACUAAAUGAUUGAUUAAUAAAGCUUAUAGCGGCAAUUAAAUUAAUAUUAAAAUACUUGAUUAACAACUAAAUACUACAAUGAAUUGAAAUAUUAAAAAAUAUUAGUAACCAAAAAGCAUUAAUAAUUUGUAUAACAAAUAGUCUCAACUCUCAAAUUACAAUCUCAGUAUUCAAAUUAAAUUUCGAACAUAAGUUCUAACAAAAAAUACUUGUUCAAAAUGUAGCAAAAAAAUAACAAACACCGCAUGUCUUGCUUCCCACUUCAAUUUUCGCAGCUGCAGUUGAUCUGGAUCAACCAAAAAGAAGUCAUAAAAUUAGUAUCUGAAAUUACCAAAUAAAAAUCAUCAUAUCAAAUUUCUGAAAAACAUAAAAGUUAGGUUGCACUGUUCAUCAACAAAUAAGAAGACAAUAGUUAACAAUAUAUAAAUACCAUAAAGCAUAUCCGCACAAUAAUUAAUAAUGUAAAAGACCAAGUUCUGAUUGAUGAUUAAUCCUAUUUGUGCUUGGUUGAGGAAUAAAGAUUGUUCCGCUAUGGGGGAUAGUAAUAACUGAUCACAAAGUCAAUUUACUGGAGAUAUAACUUGAGGUUAUCUGAUACAAUCUACUGGAGAAUUAACAAUGUAAAAGAUUUCAAAAUUCUCUGUUAUCUCCUAAGCAACAAUUAGCAUGUAUAAUCGAAAAGAAUAGCAAGCCAUAAAAGAAUAGCGAGCCAUACCGUUGAUUGUGCUUCAGCUGACAACUCACACACAACUCAGAUUUCCUCCUGAAAAGAUUUCAAAUUAGAGAAAACAUAAAUAUAUAAAACGGGUGCUUCAGCUGACAACUCACACACAACUCAGAUUUCCUCCUGAAAAGAUUUCAAAUUAGAGAAAACAUAAAUAUAUAAAACGGGUGCUUCAGCUGACAACUCACACACAACUCAGAUUUCCUCCUGAAAAGAUUUCAAAUUAGAGAAAACAUAAAUAUAUAAAACGCUUGAACAUCAUAUGGAGCAAAAUUUCUUUCAUAUCAUGCUGAAAAAAUAACAUCCAUAAAACAUAAUGCAAAACUUGUGCAGCCCUCAACAAAACUAACAAAUUGACACCCAUAAUUUAAAUAAGUCCAAGUAAUUAGAAACCAAACACUUCAUAACCGAGUUAUAGCAAAACUCGGGCAGUGAUCAUCUUUGCCAAACAAUGUUGUAAGUAUGUGAGCAUUCUUCCACAACAUAAUUUUGAGUCAAGAUGGCUUGGUUAUCCCUUGAUCAACAGUAGGAAGAACCAAAGGAAAAAUUAAAAUUAAGUACUGGCUCUAAAAUAAAUUUAGAGCAAUAAUGCACAUUGUCUAUUUGCAAGUUAAGCCCUUUUUUUUCCUGAUCAAAGUACUAAUAUAUUAUUGUUUGGAUAGAAUUAUUUAACAAAAUUCUACAAAACUCAAAAGAAUAAGUUUCAAAAUAGAACUUCUACUUUCGCUAAUGAUCAUCUCGAACGGUAAAAAAACCAUGAAUUUUGCAGAUAUAUGGGGUGAAGAAAUUGUUACAGAAACAAAGCCAGAUAAGCACUAAUGCCGCAAAGUGUGUACAAGAGAUUCAUGGAAUUAAUUGAAAAUCUCCAAUGGUAAUAAAUGUGAUUUAGAACCUAAUAAGCCAUAUAUAUGUUUGCAAGAAUUCGAAAAUUCUGAAACAAUUUAAAACUCUAAUUUUAAUAGAAUAAGUACUACAAGAGGCUAUAAUUAAUGUAGCAACUCAUUAAAGAUUAAGAUUAUGAAAGGCUAUACAGCUACGCAGUAAUAGAAAAGCAAAAAAAGAAAACUAAGAUUCAAAGAGAACGUUGCGAUAAUGAGGGGGAAAAAAAAAAGAAAAAAAAAAAACUAGCAUCAGAUCAUCAUCAUUGUUAAGAAACUUUUAGUCUAAUAUAAAUAUUUGAAGGAAAAAGAUGCUGGAGGGGAAAUUGUGUUUGAAAUAACCAUGCUUUUUGGAAGGAGUUUUUUUUUUUUUCCUCUUGCGUUCGCAUCGACUCAUUUUCCGCUUUGUUGCUCUUGCUUCACCCUGAACUCCGCCACGGCAUUUUCAAACGUCGUCGUCACGUGCUGGCACAUCACCAUUAAGUCCUGUAAUCCAUCUUUCAGCACAUCCUUUGCUGGAUCACCCAUUGGUCCAACCAAGUAUUACAAACAAGAAGAGAGAAACAACGGCCAGAAUAAUUUUAAAAAAGACGAAGAAGAAGAAGAAGAAGAAGAAGAAGAAGAAGAAGAAGAAACUUUUCUAACUGCAAUUUGAUUCUUCUUUCAAUUUAAUUAGAGAAAAACAAUAAUAUUCUGUAAUCAACAACUGAAGCACAGAUUGGGUAUUCUAAGGAAAACUGGCAUAAACUGGGCUCAGCUACUUGAGAAUAGCUUUUCUCCGUGCAGUUAUAUAUGAAGUAGGAAAGCCAUCGAAAUAUUUUAUCCGUCUUCGAGUCUCUGCGUAUCAUCUUGAAAUUCAAUAAAAAAAUGCAUUAGUUAGUCCUUGCACUUUUAGUGAAUCGCAACUUCGUCACUAAUCCUUACUAGUCAUCAGAGAUUGUCGUCUCUUCUCCUAGCAGAGGCUAAAGAUUAGACAAAUUGAAUCACACUGCAAGAAAUUGACCGAGUUUAGAGCAAAAUUCUGCUUAAGUGAAAGAUCAAGGACCGAAUUGCCAUUUGAGAAAAGUUUAGGGACUACCAAUACAUUCUACCAAUGUUAAGAGUGCAAGACCUUCUAAAGCUAUUGUUCGGCAUAUUAUCCCCAAUGUAUGGUUACUCCUAAUAGAAAGAGGAUGGUGGGUUGCCGCAGAAGCAGAAGCUUCAAAUUGGAGGUCCUGCUUUUAGAUCCUAGAAGCUCAUUUUAGCUUCCAACACAGACAAAACUCUGCACUUCUUUUCCGCUAAAAACCUUGAUUGUAAAAGAUUUUGCCUUCUGGAGUAAAGAAGCUAGCUCUAGAAGGCAAGCCAAACAAGCACUCAAUAAUAAUCAAUUACAACAGAUCGAUAGGUAUACUAAAAGUAAAACGAGCGCGAGCAGAACAGUUAAACUAAUCCCUUCGAAGAGCAUAUGAAUAUAUCAUGCCGCUUAACAAAGAUGUUCAUCCGAAUGACAAUAAUAAUGAUACAUUCAGAUAGAAAGUAUGGGCACAGCGCAUACUAGUCAGAAUCAAAAACUGAAAUCUACAAAAUAGAGAGAAAAGAAGGUGCAUUUAUAACCUGUAGUCUGAACUCUGAUGUUAACUUUAUUAUCGGAAGGAUGAGGGAUGCUAUAUCCGCAAAAUGCCACCCUUGGACUGCAAAAUUUGACAAAAAGGUGAAAAGAAGAGAGACAAGAAAACAUAAGAUCAAGAGUUCGUUGAGUUUUCUAAAUGUUGGGAUAAGCAAACACUAAAACUAAAAUAGGCAUAGGGAAAAACAAUUCAGUGGCGGAUAAUCAAAAGAGGAAAUGCUUGAACAUAAGAUGUUGCUUGAAGCUUGAAAGUAUAAGGUAGUAGGUAAGUUAGCUGUGCUUCAUAUCCAUGGAUUUACUGAAACAUUUUUUUAUUUUCUCCCUAUUUUAUUUGACAUGCAUCAUUGGAGAGCAAGCAUAAUUAAGCAAACGAACUUACUCUUGAUUCAGAACAAAUCUAACAGAGUUUGCUAACGUGUGGUCUUCAUCCAAUAUAGAAAAAGCAUAAGAGAAAUGAUUUUAGGACACUUCAUAAUCAAAGCUACCUCAUAAAGCUUCAAACUUGUAGACACAGCAAAAUUGAUAUAAGAAAUGCAAAGAAGAGAUAUUUACUAAGAUGAAAAUUGUCAGCAAUAAGUAAAUAGAAAAGAUGGAAAUUUGGUGCAAGAAAUACCUUUUUUACUCCAAGAUAACAACUAAAGUGAAACAAAGUUGAAAAUUUGGUGAAGAAGGAUCAAUGAUUGAACCAUCUGAUGAGGCUUGUCACUUUCUUUCAGGAACCCAUGUAUUUCAUUUAUCAUCUGAAGCCAAUUUCUAUGCAAGACACUUUGGUUACGAAUAUGAGGUACUAGGGCUUGAAGAUCAAUUUGUAAUCCAAGUACUUAAUUGGGGAGAUUAUGUGAUAGAGGCUUAAAGAUGAAUUUAUACAUGCAAGCAUCAACUAACUAACCUAAUAAAGGCUUUAAGGGCAUCAGAAGUUGAAAACAAAGUAAAAGCAUAUAGACCUCACCCCAAUUACAGCGCACUUUGGAAUGAGCACCUUAAUUUAAAAGUUGGAUUUUAUUACAAAGCCUUAGAGUAGGACUUGUUUAAGAUUCUAUCUUAUUCAAGGCCUCUUAGUCAGAAUUUGACAGUAUUUUUACCUUUUCUAAUGGAAGAUUCUUUAACCUACAAGAAUAUUCCGUUACUUGACAGAAUAUUCUGUUACUUUUUGACAGAAACUGUCAAGUUCUAACUUUGCUCGACCAAAUUUUCUGAAAUCAUUAGUGGAGUUUUAUGUAGUAAAAUUAAUACUUCUAAGCCGACCGUCUCUAGUGCAAGUGGCAAAGGGCUUGGUAGUUGGUACCCAAGGUCGCAAGUUUGAAUCCGAAUUGAUUCACAUUUCCAGCUAAGUUUAUUUCUAAAAAAAUAAACUAAGUGGGUAGCAUGCUACCUUUCUGUCUCAAAAAAAAAAAAUAAUAAUACUUCUAAAGUUUAGGCACCUAUUCAAAAUAUGCUGAAGUUCAGGUCAAGUUUGUACAUUUUGACUCAAAAAUAAAAAGUUCGUGGAUGUUGAAACAACUUGAAAACAUAGAAAACAAAUAUUGAUAGAAAACCUUUUGUAUGGACAAUCAAAAUAUAUGUGAAAUAAAGAUUAUGGACAAGAUUCUGGAGUUCCUUCUUUUACUUUUAUUGCCCCAGGAUAGAAGUUUUGAGAUGAUUAAUAAAAGUGUUGCCGGAAAUUUGUAAUACCUUAGCAGAAUAGAGAAUCACAUCCUCCUUGCUCAAUUUGAGACAAUGGCUGCCCCCAUAUGAGGCAAGAUUUAGAGCUGCACGUGGUUCUGCCUAACACAACAUUGAGCACACUAAAAUGCUACAAAACUUCUUAAGAGGAACUAGCAGGUAAAUAAAAUGAAAAGUUCUUGCACAACAGUAGAAUGUCUUACUUGUGAGCCAGUUGUAACAAUCAACAGAUCUUUCGGGGCAUAGGCAUCAAUAUCCUCUACUUUCACCUGCAAUAAUAAUUGAUCUUGGCAUAAUUAGUCAGCCGGAAUAAAAAAUUAGGGUAGGGUUUCACUAAAUAAGGAGCAAACUUUUCUGUCUCUGAUGUGUAAACCUAAAACUCUUUUAGAGUUUGCAAUUUUUCAUAGUGAAAAGACAUGGCACUGAAAAAACAUCUUAUACACAUCCCACUCUGUUUCAUGAAAAUAGCCAUUCUUCUCGGUAAAUGAUAAUAAAGAACAAGAUGGUAAGCUUGAAUUAGUAUGGAAAGCAAAAUUAUUGGCAGGUAAUGCAAGUUAUUUAGAUACGGAGCUAAUGAAUAUUUGAAGGAAGCAUAGGCACAUGCGCAUAUCAAAAAAAAUAAUAAUCAUCAUAAGUUGCCUCCUUCACCAAAUCCAUAGUCCUAAUUUACCUCAUAGAGUUUUAAGCUGCCUUAACAUUUGUCAUUUAAGAGGUAUCUAUAUGAUUACAAAAUUAACACAGCUCUUUCAUAUGACCAUGCAAUUAGUUGGGUGUGUUUCAUGGGAAUAAUUUGAGGCCUAGAAUAGAAAUACGAAUAAAUUAUUCCCAUUUUGAUUCCAAUUGCUGGCUACCGCCUUGCUGCCAUCGUUGCCUCUGCCACCACCACCAAUGCCGUUGUCCUGCUACUGGCUGUCAUCAUCAUUAUAAUCACGACUGCCAUCCCAAGGGCCAUAACAACCACAAUUGUUAUAACUAUCGCUGCCGCCACCACCAAUAUCUUGCCAUCACUACAAUUACCAUCCUCACCGCUAUUACCACCAUUCUCACUUGUAGCACCAUACCUUAGCAAACCAAAGAUGGACAUCAUUCAGGUCAGGCCCGUUCUCAACUAGUGUAAUUUUGCGGGCUAGGUCCGCAAUAUUCAAUACAUAUUCCAAAUCUGAGCCUGCUCCAAAUUGACCGGCUUGCAUAAGAAACCGGCUUGGGCCAAGUAAACAGAAGAAAGAAAAACUUGAGACUGACCCAGAUUUUCUCUGGCUUCAAAAUUUGAGGCCAUAUCAGGACUGAUGAAGCAAGCCAGCCUCAACCCAACUUGCAAACAAUUGUGAUGGUCUAACUCAAGGUUUAAAGUGCCGUGACACGGGGGCGUGCCGUUAUGUCCCUGGCACGGUACGGCACAGACACGCUUGUGUGCUGAUAGAUACGCAUGACCUCCUACUGGCAUGCUUUGGCACGGACUUAUUUUAGUUUUUUGGUUUCACUUUCAAUAACAUCAACAAAUUCAGACAGUAAGCCUUUUAGAAGCAAACUUGGACACAUUACAAACUGAUCAAAUAUUUCAACAUCAUCACAUAUAAUUAAUUAAUAUUUACUUUUUUUUUUACUUCAGAUUAGCAAUAUCAGAAAUCUAAUACUUUGAAAACACCAAGACAUUCAAUUCAGUUAAAACAUGAAAUUCGACUAAAACACCAACAUACUAGAAUGCUUACAUCUAAGGAGAAAUAAAAUAGUAAAUGGACAAAGCCAUUCAAGUCCGCUUAUAAUCUAAACGUGAUGGCUAUUUACUGAAAACAGUAGAUAUAAUAUGAUUCAAUCCCUGUUUACGUAAAAUCCCACUCACAUUUAGUUUUUGACCAGAGUCAGAGCUGUACUGCUGCUACAUAUGCCUCAUAAUAUUACUUUAUAUCUUACUAAUAUAUUAGUAAAUUUAUUUAACACUUUAAAUUACUUACGUGUAUAAUUCUAUUACAAACGGACCCUCAAUCAAUUAAUAGAGAACGAUUACACUGAAAAGUUUGACACUAUAAGGGAUCACAAAGACAUAUCAUUACAGUAGUAGAGCAAUUUACCAUGACAUUAGAUUAUUCACACAAAAUUUCUCAUUAAGAGCAGAUGAAAAGCUUCAAUAGCAUCAGACAAAUACAAACACACUAUAUGCAGUGUGUGUACAGAACAAAUAUAAGUUGCAAAUUCUCUGUUAUGCGCAAUCAAGUAUUGUUCUAAGAAUGCAGUAUGAAAUGGAACACGAAAACUUCGAACAAAUUCACUAGAACUGAAUUCGAUCUACUGAUACUUGGCAUUCUCAUUCUACAUCUUCACCACGAUAAUCACUACUACAUAUAUAUGAAUGCAAAGGAAGUAAAUAGAGAUAUAUGUAUGUAUAUAUGUAUGUACACUCUGCUUUGAAUCCUCAAGAUAGGGUGAUGAAGUGUUGCAGUGAACUGACCAAGCUUGGAGGCCAAUGCUUAGUCUCUUUAACAUACGACAGAUCGAUGUAGUGCGGAUCCAAUACAGUGGCUAUUAGGGCAAUAACCAGAACGAUUGCGGGAGAAACCAAACUACAAACGAAUUGAAGAGCUCAUCGUUUUAGAUACGGAUUUCGNUCUUUCUUUCUCUCUCUCUCUCUCUAUAUAUAUAUAUAUAGUAAAACAAAAAUAUUUUUGAUAGUAAAAAAAAUAGUGUUUGCUAUUAUUUUUUUUUUCCCAUUGAAUGUGUAGGAUGUAAACAUCUUUCAAAUUUUUUCUUUGUACACUCAAUCAUAUUUUUUAUAUUUAUUAUUUAUUUUAUUAUAUUUAUAUAAUUAAAAUAUGAUUAUUUAUUAUAUUAUUUUUAAAAUAUAUUCUAUCGCAUUGGUACUUUUAAUAACGAAAGAUUCGACUACAGAAAAUAAAAGAUCGAAAACCGAAUUUCUUUUUUCAAAAAGAAAUGCAUUGGGCCCUUUAUUGUGUGUUCCUCACUAUAUUGUGGAUGUGUUAGACAACAAAAUAAAUUUUUACGUGAAACUGAAUAGAAAUUAAAGAAUAAAAACCAAAAUAGUUUACUUUAAAUUAUAGAAAAAUUACUAUAUCAUAUGGAAGCUUUUGAAAAUUUACUUUUAAAACGUGAAGAUGAUUAUAAAAAUGUUGCCUUUCUUUUUAUAAGUCAGGACAAAUUUGUUGACCACAGUAGUAGUCGAAGCAAUGUUGAUGACUAAUUUGAAGAAUAAAAAAAAAAAAAAAAGCUUUUACUUGGCUCUAUAUCGUGACACAACAACAUCAUGCUCCACUUUAUAACUAAAUAUUAAGCUUAAUUACACUCUGAUACCUUAAACCUUUUCUUUCGCAAAUUUUAAUUUAUUAUAAUUUUUAAUUCGAAUUUAAAAAAUUAUAAUCAAAUUUACAAUUUAAUUUAGAUGACUGAAUAUUAAUAUGUCGUUAAUGUAGAAGUAAUGUGGCACGUUAACAUUUAAUCAGCGAAGUUUGGUUUGUGGACUUGAUUAUAAUAAAAUAAAAACUCGAGUGAGAAAUUAUAAUAAAUUAAAGUAUGAAAAUUGAGUGUGACACGCCUUUUGUAACUUAGCUAAAUAUUAAUAUUAAAAGCUUAAAAAGUUUUUUUAAAAAAAUUUAAGUAAUUAAAGAGACCAGCACAACUUCUAGAGGAGUGAGUCAGCUAAUCGAAAAUUCUAAAUGGGUAUAGUUGGAAGCUAAGAUGAGUGGGAAAAACUAUGCAAGAUUAUAUAAUUAGUUAAUUACAAAGUUAAAAUAAUAAUAAUAAAAAUGGUAGAUUUGGUAAUUAAAUUCGUGCUGAUAAGUUAAUACGCAGAUUAUCUGAGCGAAGAAAGAGAGUGUUAGACGUAAUUAAAAAUUAUUCUAUGGUUACGUAUUUGGGUCAAAUAAUCAAAUGUAAAUAAACUAAUAUAAUGACAUUAAUAUAUAAUGGGUAAAACAUACCGACAAAAUAUAUAUAUAGAUUAUUUCGCAUGAUUAUUUUUACUUAAAUUAAUAUUUGAUUGUACAUAAUUAGGGGCCGUUUGGCUAGAUGCAGUUGCAGAAAUAGUAUAAUUGAAAGUACAUGCAGUUAUAAAUACUGCAGUCGUAACUACACCAGGCUGUUUGGUUUUAUACAGUUGCAAUGGCUGCCGUUAUAUUUUUGGUAGACUUCAGUUGAGAUUUGUAUUUGUAAAUCCUGUCACUUUUAGAUAGAAAGGUAAAAUUAUCUCUUUUGAAUAUAAUAUAAUCAUGAGAUCCUUUAAUUAUUAAUUAAGACUUUUAUAUCUAUAUAUAAUUUACAUAUUAUAAAAUUAUGUAUGAAUUUAAUAAAUUUUAAAUAGAAAUAUAUUAUAAAUUUGAUUAAAAUAAAAAUUAAGAUAUUAUUGAAUGAGUAUAUUGGGAAAAAUAGAAGCGUAUGAAAAAAAUUUAUUGGACCACAACAGGCAUUAUUGAACCUUAGCAACUUUCGUGAAUAGGCAUUCUUGGGGAAAAAAAAGUAAAAAAAAAAAGCCUAUGAAAAAAAAAAUCACACUAUUUUCUCUUAAUAGGUGAGCUGAUUUCGGCAACUGCAGCCGUUGGGCUUUUUCAUGCAGAUACAACUACAGCAGUUGAGCCUAAUUAUAUUAAAUUAAAUAAAAAUUUAAUAGAUGUAUACAUUUUCAACUGCGCUGCAGGUGAAAAUGCAUGCAGCCAAACAACUCCUUAUUACUGCAUAAAAAUUCCUGCUAUAUACAAAUUUAAAAAUAGAAUUUGAGUUCAAGUGUUACAGUUGGAACUGUAUAUAUAGCAUUGAUAGUAAUAACAAUUAAUCAAAUUAUCUUACCUGCUACUCUCUUUCUUGGAUUCAAGAAAUGUAGAACCUUAAACCCAGGAGCUGCAAAAAAGAGAGAGAGAGAGAGAGAGAGAGAGAGAGUGAUAAGUUGAGAAGAGAGAGAAAAUGUUAAGGGAAAGUUAGAGGAGAAGGUGUAGAGUUAGAGGGGGUAUUUAUAGUGGCGGAGCAUAACGGAAUCUGUAUACGGAAUAUUACUGCGCCGUCAUUUUCGUCGGGGUCCACCGGUCAACGCUGUUUGACGGCGUUAGCAUGUAACGUACUACCCGGGCACACGACGCGCCACCUCAAACGCGCGCAGUUGUUCCGUUCCCACGAGCAUAUUUGUUUCAAACCAAAUUAUCAAACUAAACAAAUUUAUAUUUUAUACCGAACCAUCCCUAUUGCAAAUAGCAAAAGAUUUAAUAGUUGAUACCCGAAAUUUUAAAUUUGAAUAUUAAUUGAUUCAUAUUUUUAACUAAGUUUAUUUUUAAAUAAAGUAAACGAAACGGGUAGCGUGCUACCUAUCUCUCAAAAUUUUUUUUAAUAUAUUUAAAAAGUAUGAGUUAGAUCCUAUAUUUUCAAAAGUACGGCGAACUCCGUACUUGUAAGUUAUUUUUGAUGAUGCGACGUUCGAUUCGGAGAUCGAUUCAACUAGACAUGAUUUACACUAUUAAAACUAUCUAGAAAUCAAAUUUUAUAAUUAUUUUACUUUAUUUGGCUAGUAAAUGAGUAGCUUUAGAAUGAACGACUGAAAAUAAAAAUUUCAUAAAAGACUGAAAUUUUAAAUCAGAAAUAUUAAUUCCGCUAUUGAUGUUAAGUAAAAUUUUUUAUUAAAGUUUCAUAUAAUUUUGAUUGUUCUACGCCGUUGAACUUAAAAAUGUACCAUAUUGACUGUUAAAAUAGUUAUUUUUGAGAUCUUUUUGAUCACUUAGUAAACUAUAUCAAAAAAUUAUGAAAUUUGGUUGAUAGAUAAUUCCAAUAGCGUAGAUUAUGCCUAACGGAGCUAAUCGUCAAAUCAAAUAUUUUAUCAUCGAAAACAACUUACAAAUAUGGAGACCUCCCUACUUUCAAAAACACAAGAGACAUACUCUAACAAGUAUUAUUAUAAUUAUAAAAAAUUAGUUUUUAAAAAAAUUAUUAUAAAUUAUGCGAUGAAUAAUUCACCGCUUAAAUUUAAUUUUAUAAUCAGCUCGUACUCGACGUAGGAGCAUCGGAUUGCGACGAGACUUGGUUCGUUGGAUUCGGAACUUCGAGAGGAAUCCACAAAGCCCUUACUUGCCGGAUUUGGUGAAGGUUAGCUUGGUCGAAUCCCUUUUCUACUCUGUUGCUGUGAAAUUCGGACUGAAUUGGUGGAUUUUGAUCGUAGAGCUUGGAGUUAGCUCGAGUGCUAGACUUGGAGGGUUCCAGUUGAUCCAGCAGGGAUCACUUUGGUUCGAGGCUUCAUUCGCUGCCAGGAGCUAGCUUUUUGAGGUGGGUUACAUCGGUUUUGACUCCUAAGUUCUAAUCGUCGACAUGUAUAAUUUUGGUAUAGUCUAUUCUAGCUCGAAUUUAUGAAUUAUAUUGUAGAUUGCAAAUCUGAAUUUGGAGCAUGUGGUAAUAAGUUGUUAUACAUGUUGAACUUGGAAUUUGACUUAGAAGAAAACCUGCGAUUUGGACCUGUCACUUGUUUAAACUGCCUGAUUUAGCUCUAGGAGCCGUUAUAAAAUUGUACUGUCGCAGUAUCUUUGAGACGAGUACUCCAGAUAGUUUAGAAUGCAUUUACGCUCGUGUUGGUACGCCGAGUGGGUUUUUACAGGGUCAUUUGGCUGUUUCGGACUUUUGGGCGCCGUUGGAGUUGAUGGUGAGCCCGGUUCGCCGUUUUGGCGUCAGAUUGUGCCGAGGGCACGUUACUUGUUUAUUGUUAGACCAGUUAGAGUUGGUUACUUAGACUUUGGCUUGACAGAGCCUGAUUGAGCUCGACAGAGAUACGCUGCAUACUCGGUUGGGUAGCGCCCACGAGUGCCACUCCGAAGUCAGGCUUUGUGCUUUCGCGUUGGUGUCGCUCAUGCCGGUUGGACUUGCUCUCCAUGGACCAGUUAGUGUGGAGGUAGCUGGAUAGUCGCAACUGGGCAGGGACGGAUGUAUUCACAAUCCCAGGGAUGGGUAUGUUUACAGUCCCGAUUGGAUUGGGUCAGAUUUCACAUUUUCUACAGUUGGUUAGUGUAGAGCAUGACAGUGUAGUGAUUUGUAGCGGUUGAGUUUAUUUCCUGUAUUUUCCUACUAUCCUGGCUCCCCUCUGUAGACUUAGUGGGUGGACCGAUAUUGUUUGGGCGGCACCCACUGAGAACUACUUGUUUUUAUAGUAGUUCUCACGCCCAGUUGUUAUCCCUGUUUUGUAGAGCCACAGGUUUCGGCUGCUGCGCCUUUCGCGGAUCAGGAUCGAGGCAAGGGCGUCGCGAGUUAGAGCCCUACCCGACGUGCUGAGCUAGAGGUGCCCCUACUGCAGGUAGAUGUUUUGUUUCGAGUUUAUGUAUAUAGUAGACUUAACUCGCCAGUGUGAGUAGCUCGGUAUUUUGGAUUUGGACUAUGUAUAUGAAACUCAGUUUGUUUAGCUUCUGUUUUCUCUAACAGUUCUCUACUACUGUUCGUAGUAGUAUUGGAUUUACAGGUACAGCUGUCGCUUCAUAUACAGGAAAAAUUUCUUUGCAUACGGUGGAUUUAUCGGCGUGCCCGGGGAACGAGACAUCCGAGGCGUGACAAUAAAUCUUUCAAAUUAACGAACGAUACCGUUGAAGAUGAUUUAGAACAUUUAAUAUAUCUAAAAAUCAAAAUUCACGUUUUUAUCGAUAUUAUUUUCUGGUCCAGCAAAAAUGAUAAAAGAGCUAUUCUAUUGCAUCUACACCAAUUAAUUUCAAUCCAAAUCAGUUUCAUAUCAUCUCAAACUUCUCGGAAACCUCCUAAAUAGUAUCGAAUACGAUCUCAUACUGAGAUUUCGCUAAUUUGCAAAAAAUCAAUAUAUUACAAUAAAUUAACUC
RNAcentral lists this long non-coding RNA (13242 nucleotides) under Ananas comosus (pineapple). RNAcentral's name for it is "long non-coding RNA (ACOM_LNC004949)". The record is from RNAcentral. Lineage: Eukaryota; Viridiplantae; Streptophyta; Magnoliopsida; Poales; Bromeliaceae.